AGGGUGUAAACGCUGCCGACUUGGUGUUGGAGGCCCUUCGGGGGCAUUCAGUGCCGGAGAGAAGUUGUUAAGUCGGCCACUUGGGAGUACGUCCGCAAGGAUGAAACUUAAAGGAAUUGGCGGGGGAGCACCGCAACGGGAGGAGCGUGCGGUUUAAUUGGAUUCAACACCGGAAAACUCACCAAGGGCGACUGUCACAUGAAAGCCAGGCUAAUGACCUUGCUUGAUUUUCAGAGAGGUGGUGCAUGGCGUCAGUGACU
RNAcentral lists this ribosomal RNA (260 nucleotides) under uncultured archaeon. RNAcentral describes it as "partial 16S ribosomal RNA". It matches the Rfam family "Archaeal small subunit ribosomal RNA", at positions 748 to 1008 of the family's 1478-position model. The record is from RNAcentral.